Felis catus (domestic cat) is the source of this 762-nucleotide long non-coding RNA. RefSeq lists it as uncharacterized. The transcript is spliced from 2 exons. Lineage: Eukaryota; Metazoa; Chordata; Mammalia; Carnivora; Felidae. The record is from RefSeq and is a predicted model, not a curated record.
UUGCCUAGUGACUGACUACUCAAUAAAUAUGUGCUGCAGAAAUAACUGGAUGGAGGAAAAUUUCAUGGAUGGGGGUGCUUAUCUACAGCUCCCUUUCUGCUCCUCCCUGACCCCAGAGUCUGCAGUGGGGGGCAUGGCCAUGUAGCCCAAAACGGUGAAGGAGAAGGGUUUCAGCUUCCUGUGCAAGAAAGGCCCAGCUGUGCUAAGGUUGACGUCAGGACCAGAGAACGCCCUGCUUGGCCUCCCCAUCUCCAACCUGCCCACAAAUGGAGAUUUGUCUGAGAUGACAAUAUGGCUAACAUUCGGACAGCACUUCCAACCGGUUCUUAAAACGGCCGGGGGAUGGUUAGCAGAUGAGAAAACUGAAGAGAGAGUGAUGUAACUAGAAGAAACUAACACUCCGUGGCCAUCAUAUAAAAGAAGUAACCCUGGGGGGCUCUGCCUUCCACCUAUGUCCCCGACAGUCUGGGUGUAAGCGGAGUGGUGAGUGGACAGAGAAAGGGCACUGGAGACAGUCAGGCUGGUCUUGGAGAACCAGCGUUGCCCCUUCUCAGCUGUAUGACUACAGAAAUCUACUUGACCUCUCCGAGCCUCGCCUUCUUUCUGUGUCUUCAAAGUUGUAUGGCAUUUUUCCUACCUUGCAGGACUGCUGUGAAGACUUCAAGGGAUAAUGUAUGCAAAGUGCUUAGCGCACUGCUGACACAUGGUAGACACACACACAUGCUGUUAUACUAAUAAUAAAAAGUAAUAGGCAGGUGGCCA